This 275-nucleotide ribosomal RNA is filed under the name uncultured bacterium. RNAcentral's name for it is "partial 16S ribosomal RNA". It matches the Rfam family "Bacterial small subunit ribosomal RNA", at positions 81 to 354 of the family's 1533-position model. The record is from RNAcentral.
CGUCCCGCCGGCGACCGGCGCACGGGUGAGUAACACGUAUGCAACCUGGCCGCCACAGGGGGAUAACCCGCGGAAACGCGGCCUAAUACCCCGUGACGCCACCGGAGGGCAUCCUCCGGUGGCCAAAGGAGCGAUCCGGUGGCGGAUGGGCAUGCGGCGCAUUAGCUAGACGGCGGGGUGACGGCCCACCGUGGCGACGAUGCGUAGGGGUUCUGAGAGGAAGGCCCCCCACAUUGGAACUGAGACACGGUCCAAACUCCUACGGGAGGCAGCAG